CUGCACCCCAGCGGCCCCACUCCUUCCUCCCUGGUGCGAGUGCGCCCGAGCGUUCACUUUUCGGUGACUCCCUUUCCCCCGCCUCGCAGAGACUUUCCGUGGCUCCCCCUUCCCCCCAUCCGGCCUCUCAGACGUGGCUCCUGGAGGCAGGGGGGGUGUGGGGGGGAGGAGGUAUAAAGGGCGGGAGACCUCGCGGGCCGAGACCCGAGACGUGGCGCGCCCACCCUGCCGGCCUCAUCUCCAGGUACGUGCGCGUCCCCCGGCCGAAUCUGGCCAUGUGGGGGGCGGGGGGGGGGCAGGGGCGGCCUGGGCCUCCGGGACUCCGAGUUUGUGAUUUUGUUCGUUUUGUGUGACAUCCACAUGCGUGCUCCGAGCUGGAAACUCCUAAAAGACCGAGGGUUGCUUCGGGUUCUUGGAGGAGCUAUUUUAGGGUGCACCUCCCGGCUAGUUCGGCUGAACUUAAGUGGAAUGAAGUUAGAGAAAUGAACAAAUCCGACCAACCAAGGGAGGCAAGUCAGGGGGGUCCCCAGGGAGCCACGCGGAAAAGAAAGCCUCGGAUGGAUAAAAUCAACUUGUCCAAUUCUGGACCAAAUGUUACUUGUUGCACUUUUGUCGGAUCUUUCGGCCUGUGGAGCAAGUGUAAAAGUGAAAAGAUUCAUGACUGGAAAGCAUAGUACUUUUCAAAACGCCUAGAAUUUGAUACUUUGUUGCAAAACUUCCGUUUGGAACUCAGAGGGGUAGGGGGUCACUCUUCCCUCUGGAUGGGGGUGGGGAACGGUAUCUCUGGGCCCUGUUUAUCCAGAUCUGGGCCUCAGAUGCCUCAGAAGGUGACUUGGAAGUUUCCCUUGCAUAAGGAAGUGCAUGAAUGCUCCCACCGCUGUCCCCUCUGCAGUGACAUAGGAUGCCCCUAUGGCCCACAUUCACACAGCCGCUACAGGGUCUGGUUCUUGGGAUUUGUCUGACGCGGAAGGGCCCGGUGUGCCCUAACUGUGCCAGUGAGCUGAUCUCUAAAACAAAGAACACAUCCCUGGCUGUGAGGCGUGGUGGCUCACGCAGUAGCCACGUAGAUCCAAGAGGAGGACAAUAGAAAUAAAUACAAAGUGACAUUGAUUUGUCUUUAUAGUCUAGAAAUAUUUUUUAUAUAAAAGAUAAUUCUGAAUUGCUUUUCAUAAAAGCAAUUCUGAAGGUUUCCGUGGAAGCUCAACCCAGCCCCAGAUCUCCAGUUUGUCUCUCUCACUGUGGGUACUCAAGGGCUCACUCGGAUUUCCUGUAAGACAUCCAGAGGAAAUGUCAGUGUUGGAGGGCCUCUUUGAAGAAGGAUUGUUUCCUGAGUUGUGCUGGGGGCACUCCGCCUGGUGCAGGGCAGCUGCCUGGCUCCUGGAGACUUAAUGGAAAGCUUAACACUUCCUUCUGGGCUUGGCACGAAGGACACUUGCUCCUUCCUAACAUUCCCAUUGAUUCUUCUGCCUACGUGGCACCAGGGCCUUGAAGCCCUCCCUGGGAGGAGGCUGGGCAAGGUCUAGCCUGGCUGUUCUGCUCCUGGGGGGCUGGCGGAAACGGAGGGAUGACACUACCUUACGCCUGACCUUGCAGCCUUUGAGUGAGUGAGGGGACCUGUAGAGCCCCCAGCCAUCAGGAAAAAGGGAGGCAGAAAUGAGGACCCAUGUGUUUAGCUAAUCCUUGUCAGUGCGCCUCAACAUCAUUACAGUUAAAGGCAUGCACGCUUUAAAAAAAAAUGCUUGGCAUAUAGAGAGUUAAGCACUGGGAAGAAAAUAGCUUUCUACACCAUACCCCAGGAGGGAUCAUAGCAUCAUGUUUAAUAUGUAACUUUAUGUGUAUGUGGGGCGGGAGUCGAUUUUAUAUGCAAUGUACGGGCUAUAAGGAAGCAGUUAGAAUAUGUAUAUUUCAUGAUAACGAAUUGCAAGCAAAUUAAUAUUAAGAAUGAGAUAGUGCGUCCUUAGUUUAAAGUGAAAUGGACCCACACUGCUGGUGAUUUCACCUUGUUACCUGGGGAAAGCUCCUUUACUUCUCUGAGCUAGUCUUUUCAUCUGGAGCUUAAACCAACCUGCUGGUAAGUGUGUCCUCUGUUGGCAUGAAGGAGAUAGGAGGCGAUGAAAGUGAGACCCUCGCCGGGGGCCCAGCACAGAGGUGGGCUCUUUUUUUUUUUUUAAUUUAUUUUGAGACAGAGCAGAGGAGGGGAAGAGAGAGAGGGAGAGAGGAAGAAUUCCAAGCAGGCUCCACACUCAUGAACUCAUGAACUCCAAACUCAUGAACUCCAAACUCAUGAACGGUGAGAUCAUGACCAGGGCAGAAACCAAGAGCCGUAUGCUCAACCGACUGAGCCACCCAGGCUCUCCAGAAGUAGGCUCUGCACAAAGAAAAUUAUUUUAAAGAAUCCAUAGAUGUUUCCUUUUUCCAAAUGAAAUUUCUGAGGCUUUUUUUUUUCUUUCUUUGAGAAGUCAUUCCUCAUUGAAGAACUACCUAUCUGAAGCUGCUUCUCAUCGCACCGUAAAGCUAGAGGUGAUAAUUUCAAAACAAAACUGUUUAGUUCUCUUCUUUUCAGGAUAAAAUGAUAGCUCUCCUUGGACUGAUUUUGAUGAGCCAUGCACAUAAUGCAAAAAAAAAAAAAAAUAUGAGAAACCUAGCCCAACACUUGGUGAAAAUGAUGAACCGUGGGGCGCUGAUUUCAUGUGACUUGAAAAACGCCAUCCAUUUCCUGAUUCACCUUAAUUUCUGUGUGGAGAUGUGGGGGAUCUCUUACGUCUCUGAAAUAAGUAACCAGUGUUGUCUCCUCUUUGUGUCUCUCCCUUCCGACUGAAUUCCAGCCACGUCGCUGCCCUGCCUCCUCUGUCGAGCGGAGCCCAGAUCGCCACCCAGAAGAGGCGAAGAUGUGGCCGUAGGUCAGGAACGCCCUCAAAGGGAAACCUGGAUAUUUGUGAUCUUUACGCCGCGAGGAGAUAGUAUGAAUGUCAUGAAAAACCUCCGUCCAGAAAUCGUGGUCUCCAGGCGUCUGCAUCGUCACUGGCUUUUCCUACAGAGGAGCCAGGGACAACAUAUCACAGUCCUCAACCACAGUGUUCUUGCACCCUGGUCUUCUUUCUUUUAGAUCCAUGGCUUUCAAGGAUUCAUUGAACUGCUGGGUCAUCUGAUCAACCCCAUCAGUGUUUCUUUGUUUGCAGAUGGCCACAUUUUGGUGAAAAGAUAGGCCAUUUGAUGCCACGCUAGGAUUGCCUAGUGCUCUUUGUUGUUCAUGUAUGUAAAGACCCAUGAUUAUGGCUACAGGUGAUGCAGACUUAAGUUUUGAGAGGUGAGGCAUCUCCGGGUCGGCAGAGCUUAGGGUGUCCUCAGCCCCUACUCAAGUCCCUGGAGCUUCACCAGAAACUCUUUAGGGUUCUUUUACCCAAGAAAGGCUCACCACCGCCCUUUAUGUAGCAGCCCGCUCCCCCGUAAGCAGACCAGUUUUAUUCAAAAACAGCAGCCCGGAAACCAGGACGCAAUAGAAAGAAAAUAUGUCUGGCACAUGUGAGAAGGAGCACACGUGGGCACCGUACAAGGGGCAGGUGCCUGAACCUUACAUAGAAGGACUGGAUCCUCUCUGUGGGCACCUGCUCUCAGCCCUCUGCCAGUCUGCGCCCUGGACACUCAUCCUCUCCAUUUCUCUAAGUUUCCACCCAAGUCCAACCAGAGCCUGCCUCGAGCUUCCCUUGUCUGGUCAGAGAAACAUGCGUUGCCCCUGGCAUCUGGGCCGUGGAGGUUGACCCAGCACAGCUUGACCUUCACACGACCCAGGUGAGUUCUUAUCUGGGAACGCCCUGGAAUUAAUUCCACAGGUGAAAAACGCCUCAUGGCUACAUUCAGGGAGGCAGCCUACUUAAAGCCCGCCUGCUAAGAGCCACUGCAAAAACUGAAGGAUACAACAGCCCGAGGCUACAUUCAGUGAGAAGGGCUCACUUAGUUUUCACUCAGAAAAGUUUAGUAAUUCAUCUUGCUUCCAGGAAGGGCCUGGUAACAGAAGACACUGCAUAUUACUUUAGUAAAACUUUUGCUUUUACUUCUGUGUAUCCAGAGGACCAAAGUAGAUUAGAGAUCUGCAAGUAUUUUUGCCUUUUCUUUAUGGUUGAAUUUCUACCAACCCAAUUUCCGUAAAAAAAAAAAGAAAAGAAAAGAAAAAGUAAAAAAUAUCCAUGCUCAAAACACCUGAAGUCAUUUUCUUUUUUUUAAUAAGUAUAGUAUGGGGAGAAGGAAAAAGCUAGGUUUAAAAGAUUCUUGGAAUACCUAGAGGAAAUACAGAUGGUUUAUAGCAUGGAAAUAAGCAUCCGUAUGGUUUCCUAAGUGGUAUUUUCUGACAUUGGGCCUUGUAUGUAUCUCGUAUCUACAAGCAAAUAAUUGCUAUGCUGGAAUCCAUGUUCUUUUUAUUCCUCUGUCUUUGGAAAUAGAGCUUUGGGGGGAACUAAGUCCCUUUGGAAAUAUAUUUUCAAAAAUAAUGUGAGCCCUACAUAGAUUUAGGAAUAAAAUACAAAUUGGU
RNAcentral lists this long non-coding RNA (4525 nucleotides) under Lynx pardinus (Iberian lynx). The stretch from base 2656 to 2726 matches the Rfam family "Small nucleolar RNA SNORD123". Lineage: Eukaryota; Metazoa; Chordata; Mammalia; Carnivora; Felidae. The record is from RNAcentral.